This 429-nucleotide ribosomal RNA is filed under the name Bacteroidota bacterium. Its description in RNAcentral is "Bacteroidetes bacterium partial 16S ribosomal RNA". It matches the Rfam family "Bacterial small subunit ribosomal RNA", at positions 355 to 776 of the family's 1533-position model. Lineage: Bacteria; Pseudomonadati; Bacteroidota. The record is from RNAcentral.
UAGGGAAUCUUCGGCAAUGGGGGGAACCCUGACCGAGCAACGCCGCGUGAGUGAAGAAGGUUUUCGGAUCGUAAAGCUCUGUUGUUAAGGAAGAACGAGUGUGAGAAUGGAAAGUUCAUACUGUGACGGUACUUAACCAGAAAGGGACGGCUAACUACGUGCCAGCAGCCGCGGUAAUACGUAGGUCCCGAGCGUUGUCCGGAUUUAUUGGGCGUAAAGCGAGCGCAGGCGGUUAGAUAAGUCUGAAGUUAAAGGCAGUGGCUCAACCAUUGUAGGCUUUGGAAACUGGUUAACUUGAGUGGAGAAGGGGAGAGUGGAAUUCCAUGUGGAGCGGUGAAAUGCGUAGAUAUAUGGAGGAACACCGGUGGCGAAAGCGGCUCUCUGGUCUGUAACUGACGCUGAGGCUCGAAAGCGUGGGGAGCGAACAGG